CAAUGGGCGGGAGCCUGAUCCAGCCAUGCCGCGUGCAGGAUGACGGCCCUAUGGGUUGUAAACUGCUUUUAUACGGGAAGAAACGCGCCCACGUGUGGGCGUUUGACGGUACCGUAAGAAUAAGGACCGGCUAACUCCGUGCCAGCAGCCGCGGUAAUACGGAGGGUCCGAGCGUUAUCCGGAAUCAUUGGGUUUAAAGGGUCCGUAGGCGGGCCUGUAAGUCAGGGGUGAAAGUUUGUGGCUCAACCAUAAAAUUGCCUUUGAUACUGCAGGUCUUGAGUCAUGGUGGGGUUGCCGGAACAUGUGGUGUAGCGGUGAAAUGCAUAGAUAUCACAUAGAACACCGAUCGCGAAGGCAGGUGACCAACCAUGUACUGACGCUGAUGGACGAAAGCGUGGGUAGCGAACGGGAUUAGAUACCCCGGUAGUCCACGCCGUAAACGAUGGAUACUAGCUGUGGGGACUUCGGUCUCCGUGGCCAAGCGAAAGUGAUAAGUAUCCCACCUGGGGAGUACGUUCGCAAGAAUGAAACUCAAAGGAAUUGACGGGGGCCCGCACAAGCGGUGGAGCAUGUGGUUUAAUUCGAUGAUACGCGAGGAACCUUACCAGGGCUUAAAUGCAGGCUGCAUGGGGUAGAGAUACCCCUUUCUUCGGACCGCCUGCAAGGUGCUGCAUGGUUGUCGUCAGCUCGUGCCGUGAGGUGUCAGGUUAAGUCCUAUAACGAGCGCAACCCCUACCGUUAGUUGCCAGCAUGUCAAGAUGGGGACUCUAACGGGACUGCCGGUGCAAACCGUGAGGAAGGUGGGGACGACGUCAAAUCAUCACGGCCCUUACGUCCUGGGCUACACACGUGCUACAAUGGCCGGUACAGAGGGAAGCCACCCCGCAAGGGGGCGCGGAUCUACAAAACCGGUCACAGUUCGGAUCGGGGUCUGCAACUCGACCCCGUGAAGCUGGAAUCGCUAGUAAUCGGAUAUCAGCCAUGAUCCGGUGAAUACGU
Molecule: ribosomal RNA, 999 nt
Filed under: Flagellimonas marinaquae
Lineage: Bacteria; Pseudomonadati; Bacteroidota; Flavobacteriia; Flavobacteriales; Flavobacteriaceae
Description: bacterial SSU rRNA
Rfam family: Bacterial small subunit ribosomal RNA
Source: RNAcentral